AGUGAACGCUGGCGGUAGGCCUAACACAUGCAAGUCGAACAGCAGCACAGGAGAGCUUGCUCUCUGGGUGGCGAGUGGCGGACGGGUGAGGAAUACAUCGGAAUCUACUCUGUCGUGGGGGAUAACGUAGGGAAACUUACGCUAAUACCGCAUACGACCUACGGGUGAAAGCAGGGGACCUUCGGGCCUUGCGCGAUUGAAUGAGCCGAUGUCGGAUUAGCUAGUUGGCGGGGUAAAGGCCAACCAAGGCGACGAUCCGUAGCUGGUCUGAGAGGAUGAUCAGCCACACUGGAACUGAGACACGGUCCAGACUCCUACGGGAGGCAGCAGUGGGGAAUAUUGGACAAUGGGCGCAAGCCUGACCCAGCCAUACCGCGUGGGUGAAGAAGGCCUUCGGGUUGUGAAGCCCUUUUGUUGGGAAAGAAAUCCAGCUGGCUAAUACCCGGUUGGGAUGACGGUACCCAAAGAAUAAGCACCGGCUAACUUCGUGCCAGCCGCCGCCGUAA
Molecule: ribosomal RNA, 506 nt
Filed under: uncultured bacterium
Lineage: Bacteria
Description: partial 16S ribosomal RNA
Rfam family: Bacterial small subunit ribosomal RNA
Source: RNAcentral